Molecule: ribosomal RNA, 280 nt
Filed under: uncultured bacterium
Lineage: Bacteria
Description: partial 16S ribosomal RNA
Rfam family: Bacterial small subunit ribosomal RNA
Source: RNAcentral
GUGGAUUAGAUACCCUGGUAGUCCACGCCGUAAACGAUGGAUACUAGCUGUUGGGGGCAACUUCAGUGGCUAAGCGAAAGUGAUAAGUAUCCCACCUGGGGAGUACGGGCGCAAGCCUGAAACUCAAAGGAAUUGACGGGGGCCCGCACAAGCGGUGGAGCAUGUGGUUUAAUUCGAUGAUACGCGAGGAACCUUACCAAGGCUUAAAUGUAGAUUGACCGAUUUGGAAACAGAUCUUUCGCAAGACAAUUUACAAGGUGCUGCACGGCCGUCGUCAGCU